GAGCAAACCUUGCAGAAAGAAGGUCCGAGUUUUGGCAAGUCCAUUCAUCAUCAUCAUCACCAUCACGUUCAUGCUCUUAAUCUUAAUUAAUUAAAUUUGAUUCAUAACACAUCGAUCACACUUCAAUUCGCAGAUGCUAACUCUCUCCACUGAUUCAGAAAGAAGCGUCGACUGACUGCUCAAGAUUCCUAAUCUAGGUUACAAAGUACCACGCUGCACGAAAUUGCAAGGCUAUGCUUGGAAUACCAAAGAUGAGCAGCAGGGAGCAAAAAAGCUGUGAGAAAUAGGCAGAGGGAAAAGUCCAGAGCAGAACUAACCAGAGCAGAGUUGCCAGAGCAAAGCUUCCAGAGCAGAGCUGCCAGAGCAGAGUUGCCAGAGCAGAGCUUCCAGAGCAGAGCUGCCAGAGCUAGAGCUAACCAGAGCAGAGCUUCCAGAGCAGAAUGCCAGAGCCAAGUUGCCAGAGCAGAGAUGCCAGAGCCAGAGCUAGCCAGGGCAGAGAUGCCAGAGCCAGAGCUAACCAGAGCAGAGUUGCCAGAGCAAAGCUUCCAAAGCAGAGCUUCCAGAGCAGAACUGCCAGAGCCAGAGCCAGAGCCAGAGCUAACCAGAGCAGAGCUUCCAAAGCAGAGGGCCAGAGCCAAGUUGCCAGAGCAGAGAUGCCAGAGCUAAGUCAAUAAAGUCAGAGCCAGAGCCAAGUCGCCAGAUCCAGAGUCAGAGCUAAGUCAUUAGAGUCAGAGCCAACUCGCCAGAUCCAGAGUCAGAGCUAAGAUAUUGGAGCCAGAGAGCAGAGCCACACGCCAGAGACAAUUCGCCAGAAGGCGAAGCUACUUAGCAGAGCGUGCCAAAGAGUAGAAGUCUGCCCCAAGGAAGGAAAUCCAGAGCUACUAGACAGAGCGGGAUGAUGAAGACAGAAUCCAGCUCUGUAAUUAGGGGACAACGACCUGACAAGUUAUAAUCUAAUAAUAGCCUUAAUUAGUUUAAUGGAUUAGGCCUGCGGAAUAGAUAACCAGACGAAUUUACUACUUUACCCCGACUGUAAUGCCUAUAAAUACCUACGAUGAUGAAAUAAAACACACGCUCUCUCUUUUACUGCUUUAA
This is a long non-coding RNA of Salvia miltiorrhiza (redroot sage), 1095 nucleotides long. RefSeq lists it as uncharacterized. The transcript is spliced from 2 exons. Lineage: Eukaryota; Viridiplantae; Streptophyta; Magnoliopsida; Lamiales; Lamiaceae. The record is from RefSeq and is a predicted model, not a curated record.